This 297-nucleotide ribosomal RNA is filed under the name uncultured bacterium. Its description in RNAcentral is "partial 16S ribosomal RNA". It matches the Rfam family "Bacterial small subunit ribosomal RNA", at positions 775 to 1067 of the family's 1533-position model. The record is from RNAcentral.
GGAUUAGAUACCCUGGUAGUCCACGCCGUAAACGAUGUGCACUAGGUGUUGGGAGUAAUUAAACUCACAGUGCCGAAGCUAACGCAUUAAGUGCACCGCCUGGGGAUUACGGUCGCAAGACUAAAACUCAAAGGAAUUGACGGGGGCCCGCACAAGCGGUGGAGUAUGUGGUUUAAUUCGACGCAACGCGCAAAACCUUACCUGGGCUUGACAUCCCGAUCGUACCUUUUGGAAACAUUUGGGUCAGUUCGGCUGGAUCGGUGACAGGUGCUGCAUGGCUGUCGUCAGCUCGUGCCG